UGCUGUUUAACGGUUGGGUGUCUCACCUUAGCAGCGGUAGCUAGGCCACACUCUAUGGCCUCUCUAUUCAGAGUGCUCUGAAAAAAGUAGGGGAGCUCCAACCAGACAGGGCAAUUUGCCAGAGAGCCAGCCAAUAGCGCUAAGCCAAGACGAGGUUAAACUAUUGUUUUGGCUUAGCAAGCAAGAGUGAACAAGGACAAAACAAGGAGGGACAAAAGAAUGGCACUUAUUCCACAGACAGCCUCCAAAAUCGCAGAGAAGAAAAUCCAACAGUAUCCCAGUAAGAUUAUCCCUAAAAA
Long non-coding RNA from Gadus macrocephalus (Pacific cod), 299 nucleotides. RefSeq lists it as uncharacterized. Lineage: Eukaryota; Metazoa; Chordata; Actinopteri; Gadiformes; Gadidae. The transcript has 2 exons. The record is from RefSeq and is a predicted model, not a curated record.